Molecule: non-coding RNA, 71 nt
Organism: Tribonema minus
Lineage: Eukaryota; Xanthophyceae; Tribonematales; Tribonemataceae
Source: the annotation of a GenBank genome assembly
UCCGAAUUGGUCCAGUGGCAGGAUUUCUCAUUGUCGCUGAGACGGCCGGGGUUCGAUUCCCCGAUUCGGAG